GCUCCAUUCUUCCUAUUUCUUUUCUUCUUGGUCGAAAAACCCUUUUCAUUGUACCUACCCUCAAGUUUCAAUUCCUUCACCAUCUAUGAGAGGACUUGGAUGCAUGGUGAUCAUCUCUUCUCUGAUAAGAUGCCAAUAUUUGGAUUGAGUCAAUGUUACUCAGAAAGUUAAGGUAAGAAACUCACUUUCCAUGAACACAUAGUUUUUCCUCUUUUAAAUCCAAUCACUAAAUCUUAACCCCAUACUUGAAAUUUGUCCUUGGAUGCACGUUUACUCUUUAAAACACGAAUCUUGAGAUGUCUGGAAGGUCAUGGGUGUUGGAGAAAUUAAGUGAAACUAGAGAAUGAAGAAUUUUGGUAUCAAACCCGUAUUCAAGGACAGACCUGCACUAAAAAGGUAACUGUUCUCUCCCUGUAGCUCCGAAUGAGAUACCGUUUAUUUCUAUGGAUAGCUAACUCAAAUACGGUCGUUGUGGUACCGGUUUUAUAAGGACGAGCGAUGAGGUCGAUAGACAUUUUUGAAGUUGGAAGCCAGUAGCAGGAAUUGUGCAGAAAAUCUGGAAUUUUGGUGUUUUAUGUGCUACGGGUUUGCAUCUUGAGCGGCUCAAGCGGAUGAUUAUAUGCGAAACAGUUCGGAAUUGCUAUCAAAUCAGGUGGGUUCCUUUAGGUAAACUCUCACUUAAUAGAGUAGCCUUAUUAGUUUUCCCCAAAAUCCAACUAUGCAUGUUAACUUAAGUUUUAGGGAUUAAUNNNNNNNNNNNNNNNNNNNNNNNNNNNNNNUGAUUUUAAGUUAUGCAGGAAAUCGAGCUUGAGCCGGCUUAAACAGAGCUUGAACCGAUGCGACGUUUCCUUAAAAACUCUAAAAUGCCCAUUAUGGGUGUUAUGAGCUGGUGCAUGCGCAUCAUGGAUCAGUGCAUAACUCUCAGGAGAUGUUUUAUAAAAACUGGAAACGAUUGAAUCGGUGCAUUCACUUGUUGAAUUGACUCAACCAAGGUUUGGGCAGGUUUUA
RNAcentral lists this long non-coding RNA (1008 nucleotides) under Trifolium pratense (red clover). RNAcentral's name for it is "long non-coding RNA (TPRA_LNC003544)". The record is from RNAcentral. Lineage: Eukaryota; Viridiplantae; Streptophyta; Magnoliopsida; Fabales; Fabaceae.